UGUAGCCUACGGGAGGCAGCAGUGAGGAAUAUUGGUCAAUGGGCGGAAGCCUGAACCAGCCAAGUCGCGUGAGGGAAGAAGGCCCUGCGGGUCGCAGACCUCUUUGGACGGGGAGCAAGGCCGCCGACGUGUCGGCGGAAGGAGAGUACCCGUAGAACAAGCAUCGGCUAACUCCGUGCCAGCAGCCGCGGUAAUACGGAGGAUGCGAGCGUUAUCCGGAUUUAUUGGGUUUAAAGGGUGCGCAGGCGGAUUUUUAAGUCAGCGGUCAAAUCGUGGGGCUCAACCCCAUCCAGCCGUUGAAACUG
RNAcentral lists this ribosomal RNA (305 nucleotides) under uncultured bacterium. Its description in RNAcentral is "bacterial SSU rRNA". It matches the Rfam family "Bacterial small subunit ribosomal RNA", at positions 333 to 635 of the family's 1533-position model. The record is from RNAcentral.